AUACGGAGGGUGCGAGCGUUACUCGGAGUCACUGGGCGUAAAGCGUCCGUAGGCGGUCGGGUAAGUCGGGUGUGAAAGCCCCGGGCUCAACCUGGGAGGUGCACCCGAUACUGCUCGACUCGAGUGCGGGAGAGGAUGGCGGAAUUCCCGGUGUAGCGGUGAAAUGCGUAGAGAUCGGGAGGAACACCAGUGGCGAAGGCGGCCAUCUGGCCCACAACUGACGCUGAGGGACGAAAGCGUGGGGAGCAAACAGGAUUAGAAACCCCUGUAGUCC
This 274-nucleotide ribosomal RNA is filed under the name uncultured bacterium. Its description in RNAcentral is "partial 16S ribosomal RNA". It matches the Rfam family "Bacterial small subunit ribosomal RNA", at positions 523 to 796 of the family's 1533-position model. The record is from RNAcentral.